AAGUCGUAACAAGGUUUCCGUAGGUGAACCUGCGGAAGGAUCAUUAUUGAAUGAACUUGACUUGGUUGCUGCUGGUCUUUUCGAAGGCAUGUGCACACUUUGUCAUCUUUAUAUCUCCACCUGUGCACCUUUUGUAGACCUGAAACCAAAUUUCCGAGGCAACUCGGUCGUGAGGAAAUGCUUAACAGCUUUCCUUGUUAGGUUCCAGGGCUAUGUUUUCAUAUACACCAUAAGAAUGUAACAGAAUGUCAUUAUUAGGCUUAGUUGCCUUAUAAACUAUAUACAACUUUCAGCAACGGAUCUCUUGGCUCUC
RNAcentral lists this unclassified non-coding RNA (313 nucleotides) under Hypholoma lateritium. Its description in RNAcentral is "partial internal transcribed spacer region". The stretch from base 1 to 46 matches the Rfam family "Eukaryotic small subunit ribosomal RNA", at positions 1786 to 1831 of the family's 1831-position model. The record is from RNAcentral. Lineage: Eukaryota; Fungi; Basidiomycota; Agaricomycetes; Agaricales; Strophariaceae. RNAcentral also lists the same sequence under 1 other name.